Loxodonta africana (African savanna elephant) is the source of this 7897-nucleotide long non-coding RNA. RefSeq lists it as uncharacterized. The record is from RefSeq and is a predicted model, not a curated record. The transcript is spliced from 5 exons. NCBI's taxonomy places the organism in Eukaryota, Metazoa, Chordata, Mammalia, Proboscidea, Elephantidae.
UCAAUUUAUUGCAGUAUUGCUCAGAACCUUUAACAUGCUAAUAUGCAUUGGGAUCCCCACUUAUGGGAUCAUGUGGUCUUUUUUCCUAGAACAUGCUGUAGGAUUCUGUUCUGUUGUCCCCUCUUUGGGGAGGUGGACAUCCACAUUGAGUAGACCCCUGCUGACAGACGCUGGUGUCCAGCGUGGACAGAUCAAAUCAAUAGCUCUGUUUUGAAAAUGGGCCAGAGCCAGCUCAUUCCUGUCCGGGUGCAACCCCAGUUGAACUAGAAUGGAGGCUUGUCUAGGGUGCUGUGGGAAUACAGAGGAGGGUGAUUAACUCUCCUGGGGGAAGUCAGAGAAGGCCAACUCUCAGGGUCAUGUUUUUUCUGGGUAUUGAAGGACGGGUAAGAGUGUGUAUAGCAAAUGAGAGUGUGAAAGAGCAUUACAGACACAGAAAACAGCAAGUGCAAAGGUCCUGAGGUGUGAAAAAGCAUGAUGUGUUUGGGGAGAGGUGAGAAAUUCAGUGUGCUUGGAGAGGAGUGUGCUAGGGGUGGCUUUUAAGGAGAUGAAGGUGAGAAUAGGCUUGUUAAACUGUGAAGGGCCUUGGGCGUCAGGCCAAGGGGUUUGAUUCUUGGGCAAGAGGAGUCAACAGAGGGUUUUAAAAAAUUAUUAAUCAAUUAGACUAUACAUGCACUGCAGCACAAAUCAAACGUUUGUUGUUGUUGAGCCGACUCUGACUAAUGGAAAACUCAUGUACAACAGAACAGAACGUUGCCCGGUCCUGCACCAUCUUUGGGAUCUUUGAGUCCAUUGUUGUGGCUAUUGUGCCAAUCUACCUCAUUGAGGGUUUCUCUCAUUUUCAUUGGUCCUUGACUUUGCCAAACAUGAAGUUCUUUGUAGAGACUGGUCUUUCCUGAUAACGUGCCCAAAGUAAGGGAGUCAGAUUCUUCACAUCCUCGCUUCUAAAGAACAUUCUGGUUGUACUUCUUCUAAGAUUAAAGGUGAACAAGGUAAACAGUGAGCAAUGAGCCUCCUUCCCUCUCUGUUCCUAGCCCCAAGAGCCCCUUACCCUCUACAGAAUCAGAUACUGUCAUCCUUCCAGAGGGAUCUUUUGCAUGUACAAGCAUAGAUGUAUAUAUCCUUUAAAAACCCACAAAUGACAGCAUUCUAAACACACUGUUCAGCACUUCGCUUUUUUCACUUAACAAUAUAUCUUAGAGAUUGUUUCACAUCCCUACAUAAAGAGCUGCCUCAUUCUUUUUUUAACAGCCAUAAAGAUUUCCAUUGUAUGAAUGUAUUGUGAUUUAUUUAAGCAGUCCCCUCUUGAUGGACAUUAAGGCUGUCUCCAAUCUUCUGUUAUUACAAGCCAUGCUGCAGUGAAUAGCCUUGUAUAUCCAACUUUGCAUAUAUAUAUGCAGCUAUGUCUGAAGAAUACAUUCUAGAACAGUGGAAUUUAUGGGCCAAUGGUAUGUGCAUUAAACAUUUUGAUACAGAGUGCCAAAUUGCCAUUCAUGGGGACUGUGUCAAUUGACACUCCUACCAGACUUUGAGAGUGCUGGCUUCUCCAUACUCUUGCCAACACAGGCUGUGAUCAAACACUUGAUUAUUGUCAGUCUGAUAGGUAGAAAAAAGAGUAUCUCAUUGGAGUUCAAAUUUGCAUUUCUUUUUGAUUAAGACUAAGAUUGAACAUCUUUUUGUAUGUUUGAAGGCUAUUUAAAUUUCCUGAUCUGUGGACUGCCUGUUCACAACCCUUGCCCAUUUUUUAUUGGAUUGUUGGCCUUUUUUCCUUACUGAAUUGUUAGAACUCUAGUAUAGUGGCCAUAACUCUUGCCUGUUGUUUAAUUUUCUCAUGCCCAUGGCUCAUUCUGUAGGUGUCCAUCCCUGGAGAUGCAGCGUGUAUAUACAAAUAUUCUUUGUUUGAGAUGAGGUGGCCAGGAAUUGGUGGAGGUUAGGAGAAUGGGGACUCUGGUGAGCUCUUCUAUUGGACAUAACUAAUGGGAUGGGGCACUUGUACUCCUUGGCAGAGAAGCAGACCAUUCUGGAAGCUUCUGAUUACAGUGGGGUUGGCUCUUCCUGAUCUCUGUCAGAUCUCUUCUUUUCUCCCUGAUUUGAUACCACUUUCCCUCCUUACACUCUGGAGUCCUCUUUGCUCAGCUUCCCCUUUCCUAAUAUUAGCACAGGCACAGCCCUGCCCCCAUCACAAGCAGUGAUUAUAUAGCAAAUUAACCACAAGCUGUUCUGUUCUUGUCCAGUGGCAGUUGGGGAGAUGUUACUCUUGAGUAAUGACUUGUAUAGUCGAUGCUCUCAUCUGUAAUUUGCAUAUGCAAUAAAUGCAGAAAUAAAAACUUGAUCCAUAUGAAAAAGGGACCAAGUGGAAAGGGCGGGGGUGGGGGAAGAAAUCAUGAAUUUUGUGGACUGCGUCUUACAGUCUGGCUUCAAUUUCCUCUUGAGUAAUACAGUCAUUGCCUACAUUUAAUUGAUGGCUGUGUUUGGCUAAAGGAUGGAGGCAGGCAGAGGGAGAGUCAGAGAGCAGAAUCCUGACUCCUCAAAAUGUGUCUUUGAGAAUGGGGCAAUUAUUCUCUAAGCCUCAGCUUCCUCAUCUAUAAAAUGGGGGUGAUAAUACCUAUCUCCAGCAAGGUGUUAAAGAGCCUGGAUUCUGGAACAUGGUAAAUCCAUAGUAAACAUUACUUUUCUUUCCUCCUUGCUUCUUUCCUUCUCUUCUUGUCUCCCCUUCCUUCUCUCUUUUUCUCUUCCCUCCUCCUUCCCUUUCUACUCCCUCUUUUCCUACCUCCGUUCCAUCCAUCCUUCCUUCCAUUAUCAUCCCAUUCUCACCAUGUUUGAUAUAAAGGGAUAUAUCAGGUAGGGAUUUUUUUUUAUUAAGCUUUUUAUUUUGGGAUAAUUACAGAUUCACACACAAGUAAAAAUUUUGCUGAAGAUCAUUCAAAAGCAAUCGCAGCACUACAUCAACAGGGAACUGCCAGAAAUUCAAGCCAGAUUCAGAAGAGGACAUGGAAUGAGGGAUAUCAUUGCUGAUGUCAGAUGUAUCGUGACUGAAAGCAGAGAAUACCAGAAAGAUGUUUACCUGUGUUUUAUUGACUAUGCUAAGGCAUUCACUUGUGUGGAUCAUAACAAAUUAUGGAUAACAUUUCAAAGAAUGGUAAUUCCAGAACACCUAACUGUGCUAAUGAGGAAACUGUACAUAGACCACGAAGCAGUUGUUUUAACUGAACAAGAGAAUACUGCACGGUUUAAAAUCAGGAAAGGUGUGUGUCAGGGUAUAUCCUUUCACCGUACCUAUUCAAUCUGUAUCCUGAACAAAUAAUGCAAGAAACUGGACGACACAGCAUCAGAAUUGGAAGAAGACUCGUUUAUAGCCUGUGAUAUAUAGAUGACACACUUUGCUUGCUGAAAGUGAAGAGGGCUUGAAGCACUUAAUGAUGAAAAUCAAAGACCACAGCCUUCAGUAUGGAUUACACCUCAACCUAAAGAAAACAAAAAUCCCCACAGCUGGACCAAUUAGCAACAUCACGGUAAAUGGAGAAAAGAUUGAAGUUAUCAAAGAUUUCAUUUUACUUGGAUCCACAAUCAAUGCCCACGGAAGAAGCAGUCAAGAAAUCAAAGGACGUAUUGCACUGGCCAAAUCUGCUGCAAAAGACCUCUUUAAAGUGUUAAAAAGCAAAGAUAUCACUUUGAGGAGGACUAAGAUGUGCCUGACCCAAGCCAUGGUAUUUUCAACUGCCUCAUAUGCAUGCGAAAGCUGGACAAUAAAUGAGGAAGACUGAAGAAAAACUGAUGCCUUCGAAUUAUGGUGUUGGCAAACAAUAUUGAAUAUAUCAUGGACUGCCAAAAGACCAAACAAAUCUGCCUUGGGAGAAGUACAGCCAGAAUGCUCCUUAGAAACAAAGAUGGUGAGACUUUGUUUUGCAUACCUUGGUCAUGUUAUCAGGAGAGACCAGUCCCUGGAGAAAGACAUCAUGCUUAUUAAGGUAGAGGGUCAGCAAAAAAGAGGAAGACCUUCAGCGAGAUUGAUUGACACAGUGGUUGCAACAAUGGGCUCAAGCAUAACAACGAUUGUGAAGUUGGUGAAGGACCAGGUGGUGUUUCGUUCUGUUCUACAUAGAGUCACUAUGAGUUGGAAAAAACUAGACGGCACCUAACAACAAUGACUAACGAUGUUGAACAUCUUUUCAUGUGCUUAUUUGCUACUUGUAUGUCUUCUUAAGUGAAAUGUCUCUUCGUGUCUUUUGUCCAUGUUAAUUGUAUAUAUAUAUUUUUAUUGUUGAGUUUUUUUGAGCUGCCUUUUUUUGUGUGUGAAAUAACAGCUUUAUUGAGACAUAAUUUACAUACCAUAAAGUUCACCAGUAAUCAGUUGCAGCCCAGUUGAUUCUGACUCAUGGCGACCCGUGUGCGUCAGAGUAGAACUGUGUUCCAUGGGGUUUUCUUUUCUUUAAAUAAUAUUUUAUUGUGUUUUUGGUGAAGGUUUACACAGCAGUUUAGGUUCCCGUUCAACAAUUUCUGCACAAACUUUUCAGUGACAUUGUUUACAUUCUCCACAGUGCAUGAACAUUCUCAAUAUUUCUGUUCUGAUUGUUCUGUUCUCCACAGGAUUUUUAGUAGUUGAAUUUUUGGAAAUAGAUCAUGAGAUCUUCUGAGGUGUCUCUGGGUGGACUCAAAUCUCCAACUUUUCAGUUAGCAGCCAAAUGAAUUAACCGUUUGGACCACCCAGGGAGUCCUCACCCUUGUAAAGUAUAAAAUAUAGUGGUUUUUAGUAUAUUCACGAAGUGCACUCAUCACCACUGUCUAAUUCCAGAACAUUUUCAUCACCCUGCCCCCCCAAUAAAGCUCAUACACAUUAGCAGUCGAUCCCCAUUCUCCACCCCUGCCCUCGGGCCCUGGCAACCACUAUUUUUGAUCUUUAUGGAUUUGGCUAUUCUGGACAUUCCAUAUAAAAGAAUCAUAUAAUAUAUGAUGUUUUGUGUCUUACUUCUUUCACUUAGCAUAAUGUUUUCACGUUUCAUCCAUGUUGUAGCAUGUUUCAGAAUUUUAUUUCUUUUUAUGGCCAAAUAAUAUUCUACUUUUUCAGUAUACCAUGUAUUGUUUCUCAGUUAAUCAGUUGAUGGACAUUUGGGUUGUUUCCACUUUUUGGCUAUUAUGAAUAAUGCUGCUAUAAACAUUUGUGUGCAAGUAUUUGUGUGAACAUAUUUCUAAUUCCUUUGUGUGUAUACCUAGGAAUGAAUUGUUGAGUCUUAUGGUAACUCUGUUAAAUUUUUUAGGAACAGCCAGAGUAUUUUCUGAAGCUGCUACACCAUUUACAUUUCCACCAGCAAUGUAUGAGGAUUCCAAUAUCUCCUCAUCUUUGUCCACAUUUUUUAUUGUCUGUCUUUCUAUUAUAGCCAUCUUAGUGGGUGUGAAGUGGUAUCUCUUUAUAGUUUUUAUUUGUAUUUCUCUAAUGACUAAUGAUGUUGAGCAUCUUUUCAUGUGCUUAUUGGCCACUUAUUUAUCUUUGGAGAAAUAUCCAUUCAAUUUUUUUGCCCAUUUUUAAAUUGGGUUAUUUGUCUUUUUAUUGUUGAUUGGUAAGAAUUCUUUAUAUAUUCCAGAUAAAAGCCCCUUAUCAGAUAUAUGAUUAGAAAAUAUUUUCUCCCAUUCUGUGGGCUGUCUUUCCACAUUCUUGGUAGUCUCUUUUAAUGCAUGAAAGUUUUUAAUUUUGAUGCAGUCCAAUUUAUCUAUGUUUUCUUUUGUCACUAGUGCUUUUGGUGUUAUCACUAGAAACCGUCCCCUAAUUCACGAACAUACAGAUUUUAUCUUAUGCUGUCUUCUAAGAAUUUUUAUUGUUUGAGCUCCCACAUUUUUGUUUCUGAUCCAUUUUGAGUUACAUUUUUAAUGGUGUGAGGUAGGGCUUCAACUUCAUUCUUUUACAUCCAGCUGUCCCAGCACAAUUUUAUGAAAAGAUAAAUCUUUCCCCGUUGAAUUGUUUUGGAACUCUUGUUGAAAAAAACUGACUGUAAAUAUAAGAGCUUAUUCCUAGAUUUUGAAUUCUAUUCUUCUGGUCUAUUUUUCUAUCCUUAUAGUAACACAAUGUCCUGAUUACUGUUGCUUCGCAGUGAGUUUUGAAAUCAGGAAGUGUAAGUCCUCCAAUUUUGUUCUUCUUUUUAAAAAUUGUUUUGGCUAUUCUGGGUCUGUUGCAUUUCCCUAUGUAUUUUAGGGUCAGCUUGUUAAUUUCUUCAAAAAAGGCAACUGAAAUUUUAAUACGGUUUGUAUAAAUCAAUUUGAGAAAUAUUGUCCUUUUAACAAUAUGAAGUCUUACUAUCCAUGAAUAUUGAAUAUCCUUACAUUUAUUUAGGUCUUCUUUAACUUCUUUCAAUGAUGUUUUAUAGUUUUCAGUACAUGAGUCUUGCAUUUCUUUCGUUAAAUUUAUUCCUAUGUAUUUUAUCCUUUUUGAUGCUAUUGUAAAUUUUUUUCUUAAUUUCAUUUUUGGGUUGUUCAUUAUUAGUGUAUAGAAGUACAAUUGAUUUUUAUAUCUUGAUCUUAUAUCCUACAAGUUGCCAAAUUUGUUUAUCAGUUACGUAGUUUUUUAGUGGAUUUCUUAGGAUUUUCUAUAUAUGCAAUCAUGUCAUCUGCAAAGAGAGAUAGUUUCACUUUUUUCUUUCCAAUCUGGAUACCCUUUUUUUUUUUUUUUUUGCCUAAUUGCUCUGGCUAGAACCUCUGGUACAAUAUUGAAUAGAAGAAUAUAAAAGAACUUCCUCAAUCUAAUAAAGGUCAUUUACAAAAAUACAGCUAACAUCAUACUUAAUGGUGAAAGACUGGGUGCUUUCCCCCUAAGAUCAGGAACAAGACAAGAAUGUCUGCUCUUGCCACUUCUAAGGGAGCACACCAAUGCACAUUUCCAACAACAAUCUGUGUAAUCCACACUGAAGGCUGUAGUCUUUGAUCUUCAUCAUUUUCUUAUUUUUUACUGAACUUGCAAAUCCACUGGCAACCUCACAUAGUUGGACCAUUGAUUUAAGACCAUGAAUUGAAUAAUUCUUCAUUUCUUUGCUAGUUUGUGCAUGAACCCUCAGACUUUUUCUGUCAGUGCUCAUGACAGGAGUGUGGAGACCAGAUUUCACCAGAAAGGCUGAGCAUGAAGGACCCAAAGGCCUCUCGGUUGGGCUGCCUGCCUCAGUGGACCCCAUGGCGACAGGGCUCUGGGCUUGGCUCUGAGGAGAAACCGUAAGCCCUGAGGACAGAAGACUUGUCUGCCAUGCUCACUACCAUACCCCAGUGCCUGGCUGGUGCUGGGCUCCCAGGAGUUGAAAGAAAGAACGGACAAAUGGCCCUUCAGAACUGGUGGGUCAGGGCUACGGUGCCCUUUUAAGUUGAGUAAAUAGCAGAGACUGUUCUCUGACUAGAACUAAUGUUUUUUGGGGGACAAAAGGACAGAAUAUCUGAAAUUGAGGCCCAUCCUGGAAAAUCUGGUACAGCUGGUCACCACUGGAUGGCCGAGCCUCCUGACUCUCAAGUCUGCUGGGAGCUGGGGGAGUCACCCAUUUUGACUGUCAGCUGACAUCUGACCUCUAGAGCUGAUUAUUUCUCCCCUCCAUGAGCACAUUCCCAACAAAAUGGGGUCGAGAGAUAUUUGCAUCCAAACCACCAAGCUCUUUAAAUGCUGGGGCCGGGAGGCCCGCAUGGGUUUAUUAGAUUAUCAUUGCGGAAGUUAAUAAAGAAUUAAUUUCUCUUCAUGUGACAUCCAAAGGCAGUUAUUUCAGGAGCCUGUCCAUUUGCACAAAGCCAAGUAUUUGUCAAGUGUCAGAGGCAAUUCCCAGGUCCCAGCCCCCCCUCAAUAAUUCUGGAUUAGGGACAGCCUGAAAUGACAUUACACAAAUUUUCCUUCAAGAUGCAUUGAGCUCUGGGGAGCACUCAGGAAUUUCAGGUUCCUGAA